UCUGCAACUUUUGUCCCACUCUUCCCCUCCCAGAAUGGAACCGUCCCCGAAGCAGUAACAUCCGGCAGUCGGCACACCGGCAUUUACCGCACCUCCCUCCGGCGUCAUAAAAUCGCACCUCCCUCCGGUGUCAAUCGAGAGGACUCAGAGAAAAGACCGCUCUGUCACACUCAAUCAGUCGUCGAGCCCACUAACUUGACGAAGUUAGAUCCGAUAAAACUUUAGAG
Molecule: long non-coding RNA, 227 nt
Filed under: Olea europaea (common olive)
Lineage: Eukaryota; Viridiplantae; Streptophyta; Magnoliopsida; Lamiales; Oleaceae
Description: long non-coding RNA (OEUR_LNC009547)
Source: RNAcentral